Molecule: ribosomal RNA, 253 nt
Filed under: uncultured bacterium
Lineage: Bacteria
Description: partial 16S ribosomal RNA
Rfam family: Bacterial small subunit ribosomal RNA
Source: RNAcentral
UACAGAGGGGGCAAGCGUUGUUCGGAUUUACUGGGCGUAAAGGGCGCGUAGGCGGCGCGGUAAGUCACUUGUGAAAUCUCUGAGCUUAACUCAGAACGGCCAAGUGAUACUGCAGUGCUAGAGUGUGGAAGGGGCAAUCGGAAUUCUUGGUGUAGCGGUGAAAUGCGUAGAUAUCAAGAGGAACACCUGAGGUGAAGACGGGUUGCUGGGCCAACACUGACGCUGAGGCGCGAAAGCUAGGGGAGCAAACGGG